CUUCCUGUAAGCACCAAAGUUCCUCUCUGUUUUUUUUUCCCUAGUUCCUCUUAGUAGCAAGAGUUGGACUGACCCUAAACGUGGUGGCUUUAUGCCUUGGAAGGUUGUAUUAAUAUUUCCUCUUAUGCCUCAGGCCUUGCGCACAAAUUAUUGUUUUCUUCUUCAUCUGCUGCUUUACUGAGUUCAGAUCUGCACAACUGGAAGGAAGAGGCUAGUGACCCAGCUGGAAGUGGAGAGGGAGUGAGGGAAUGAGUGAGGGAGUGAGUGAGUGAGUGAGUGAGUGAGUGAGUGAGUGAGUGAGUGAGUGGGACUGAGUGCAAUAAACCCACAGUUCUCGUGCUUCUCACAAUCCCUCCCACUCUUGCAGUGACACAAGCACAGGGAAGAAGACUGUGAGUGGUACAGAGUGGUACAGAAGGUCACAAUGUGCUGUCAGUCACCACCAUCCCAGGAGCAAGAAGGACCCUUUGAGGGCAGCCUUGCUGAUCCCAACAGCUGAAGAGAAGGUACUAAAAAAGGAAUUUGUGACCUGAUAAAGCAGGCACUGUUGAGAGGAACUCCAGGUCUCCAGGCAUCGAACUUCAGAUCCUUCUGAUCUCUGUGUCAAAACUUUUGCUAACAUCAAGGAAUCCCAGGUGCCCUUGCUGGAACCUACUGAAUGUACUACAAAUCUCUCUUUGGAGGAAUUAUUCCCUGUACUUCUUGUCCAGAUGGUCCACCUGUAUCCCUUGUCCUGCCUGACGUGACAUGGAACUAUUUCCUAUGGAGAACUAGCUAAGUUGCAUGCCUGACAUUGCUAAAGAAAGACCUGUGAUAAAGGUGUUGAAAAGAACUACAUGAGAAACAGUGGAGAUCUAUAAGUUUGCUUUCCAGGCCUCAAGGGAGUCUGUGAUGAGAAAGAACUGUGCUGAUUCUCACCUACUGAGGCAGUGAUAACAAAGGAUCCAGGUGGGAACAAAUCCUUUUCCUUCAUGAUAUUCACAGUGCAUCCCUCAUAACCCACAGUGCAUGUCUCUCGGGCAAGCUUAGGAGAAAGUAAGAGUUAAAGAAUCUUACUGGAACAUAUAGCCCAAUUUGCUGCAUUCACAGACAGUUAUUUCUGUAAUCCCUUUAAAAACAUGAUCAAGCUCCACAUUUGACUGGUUAAAAAUUGUGAUAAGAGCAACUUCUGGGAUGCUUUCAGUUUCUGGCUCCUUUUUGAGUUACAUAUAUUUUUCAUAUUUACAAUCUAAAUAUAUUCACUGUCAAUUAUUUCUGCUCUUCCUCCCUCUCCCCUUGCCUUGUGGUUUAUGCAAAACAGAGCUCUUGAGUUGUUCACUGACAAUUUCCUGUAAUCUUUCCAUUUUUCACUGUUACUGCUAACUAUGUAACUGCAAGGAGAAUUAUUACUUAUGUGAGGAAGCUCUGUUAAUAAAUUGGGUUUUAAAAGUUCUGAGUACUUCCCAGAGGAAUAGAAAAACUGCUUAGGUAAAGGGAAACAUUCCCAGUGCUGUACUUACACUAUUAGAGCUGCAGUUGUUUGUGGUCAUGCUACACCUCAGCUCAAUCUGUGCUCCUAAGGAGUGUGAUUUAGAAGCUAACAAGGUUGUUGCCAUGGUACUGGUGUUGGCACGCUGGCAUUUUUCGGAGGUAGUGGUGAAGUUAUUUCAAGGCAGAGCUGCUAGUGGCUGGAAGUCACUAGGUCAUUCUGUGGAAAGCACUGAACUUCCCAGUGUCACCCAGAAGGAAUAUAGUUAUUCUAGUCUGAGCCUGACCCUUGGCAUGAGCCAAGGCAAUGUAUGUGAAGGCAAUUGGUAAAUUCUCUUCGGAAACACACUCUCCAUGUGGAAGAUUGAUAGGGAUGUUCCUAAGACUGGAACUCCUGUGCUGCAGUUUUGAGGUGAUGGCACUGUAUAUCUGCAAGAGAAACACCCAGGUGUGCAAGGAUUAAAUAUAGUAAGUCUAGGGUAUUUCAUAUUAGCAUUUCUUUCAGCAUAAAUGGAACUGUGAAACUGUGCCUGCUGGUUUCUCCCUUAGCCUUGAAUUUGUAUUUGAUAUUUUUAAUGGGACUAUUGAUAAAAUUAAUUUCUGCAAGUUUUACCUUACUCAUUUUGAUUUUAGUUGGUUUUUUGUUUGUUUGGUUUUUUUUGUUUGUUUGUUUUGGUUUUUUUUUGGGCAGGGUGGCAGUCCCCUUGGGCUGUGUUGUGACCUAUUGAGUUUAUAAUUGGAGGCAAACCAAAAUAGUACCACUAGAGAGUGUGGCAAUGAUCUCAUUAAAAAGUCAACAUUUGCUAAUAGAGGAAAACUGAUGUUGAAAAUGCCUUUAGGUGGAAAUUCUUAACAAGCUGGCUUCACUAUAAUGAUCACUUACAUACCUAUUAAGGUUGCAUUUCUUUAUGAGAAUUCAUUAAUUUAUUGUAGAAAUGCUGAAUAAAGAUGCCAUUUCUUUUCUAAUGUGUCAUUUAGAAGUAGGCUAAGAUGCCAUUAUCUCCCAUGGAAGCAGUAAAAUAAAGGGCUUAUGAGUUCUGAACUCUUUUUGAUACCACAAUUAGUACUGCUGCAGUUUAACCAUCAACAAAGAUGCUAUAAUUUGCUACUGAAACAGAAAAGUGAAGGGCUUGUAAGCCUGAACUUUUCUUCAUACCACAACUACUAUUGCUGCAGAUUAACUGUCUAAUACCUACUUUAGGUUAGUUAUUUGGCAUCCUGUUUUAAAUAAAUGACAAAAAAAAAUCAUUUAAAGCAGGGAAAAAUAAUCACCUAGGAAAUGAGAAGGUUUAAUGUAGACUUAGCGCA
Long non-coding RNA from Taeniopygia guttata (zebra finch), 2775 nucleotides. RefSeq lists it as uncharacterized. The record is from RefSeq and is a predicted model, not a curated record. NCBI's taxonomy places the organism in Eukaryota, Metazoa, Chordata, Aves, Passeriformes, Estrildidae.